Piliocolobus tephrosceles (Ugandan red Colobus) is the source of this 484-nucleotide long non-coding RNA. RefSeq lists it as uncharacterized. Lineage: Eukaryota; Metazoa; Chordata; Mammalia; Primates; Cercopithecidae. The record is from RefSeq and is a predicted model, not a curated record. The transcript has 3 exons.
CAGCAUGACAGCACCCUGCUGGCCCUCCAGGGGGCCCUGGGCCUCUAUGAUGGACACACCCCGCCAUACGCUGCCUGCCUUGGGUUUGAGUUCCGGAGGCACCUGAGGGAUCCUGACAAAGAUGGAGGGAAUGUCACCAUCUCCCUCUUCUACCGCAAUGACUCCACUCACCUGCCCCUGCCUCUCAGUCUCCCCGGGUGCCCGGGCCCCUGUCCACUACGCCGCUUCUACCAGCUGACUGCCUCGGCCCGGCCUCCGGCCCAUGGGGUCUCCUGCCAUGGCCCCUAUGAGGCUGCCAUUCCCCCAGCUCCAGUGGUGCCCCUGCUGGCCGGAGCUGUAGCUGUGUUGGUGGCACUCAGCUUGGGGCUGGGCCUGCUGGCCUGGAGACCAGGGUGCCUGCGGGCCCUGGGGGGCCCCGUGUGAGCCAGAAACCAGGGUUUCCCUACCCCCAGCUGACACUGGACCCCAACACGUAUGCUCACUA